GUAGUAGCAAAUACUCUAGCGAGCCCCUGGAGGACUGACGCGGAGAAGGGUUUCGUGUGAACAGCCGUUGCACACGACUCAGUCUAUCCUAAGCCCUAGGGGAAACCCGAUGUAUCGGGGCGGCGCCCCGCGAGGGCGAAAGGGAAUCCGGUCCCUAUUCCGGAACCCGGUAGCGGAACCGUCCUACGUCGGGCCCCCCGCCCCUCGCGGGCGGGAAGCUCGUCGGGGUAACCCAAACAGACCCCGAGAAGCCGUCGGGAGGCGAGGGAAGAGUUUUCUUUUCUGUUUGAGCGUUCGGGUUCCCUGGAAUUGCCUAGCGCAGAGAGAGGGAAUGGAGCGCGUAGAGCACCGCAGUUGCGGCGGUGUCCUCGCAUGCCCCUCGGACCUUGAAAAUCCGGGGACGGGCCACGUGGAGGUGUCGCGCCGGUUCGUACCCAUAACCGCAGC
Molecule: ribosomal RNA, 447 nt
Filed under: Kempiola flavipunctata
Lineage: Eukaryota; Metazoa; Arthropoda; Insecta; Orthoptera; Phalangopsidae
Description: eukaryotic LSU rRNA
Rfam family: Eukaryotic large subunit ribosomal RNA
Source: RNAcentral